Molecule: ribosomal RNA, 253 nt
Filed under: uncultured bacterium
Lineage: Bacteria
Description: partial 16S ribosomal RNA
Rfam family: Bacterial small subunit ribosomal RNA
Source: RNAcentral
UACGUAGGGGGCAAGCGUUGUUCGGAAUCACUGGGUGUAAAGGGAGCGUAGGCGGAAGGGUAAGUUAGAAGUUUAAUAUACGGGCUUAACUCGUAAUCUGCUUCUAAUACUGCUUUUCUUGAGUAUGGGAGAGGGAGAUGGAAUUCCAGGUGUAGCGGUGGAAUGCGUAGAUAUCUGGAAGAACACCAGCUGCGAAGGCGGUCUCCUGGCCCAAUACUGACGCUGAGGCUCGAAAGCUAGGGGAGCAAACAGG